RNAcentral lists this long non-coding RNA (216 nucleotides) under Elaeis guineensis (African oil palm). RNAcentral's name for it is "long non-coding RNA (EGUI_LNC075803)". Lineage: Eukaryota; Viridiplantae; Streptophyta; Magnoliopsida; Arecales; Arecaceae. The record is from RNAcentral.
CCUAGUGAUGUGAUGAGAGAGAGUCAAAAAUAAGCAUCUUAAUUUUUUGCCCUUAUACUAAUUUUCUUUUACCUUUUUUAAGAUUGUUCGCACUUUUAAAAUUGAUAGUCAAUAACGUGACUUGGUUGAAUAAAUUACUCAGAUAUAUUAUAUUUAAUAUGUGGGGAAGUGAAUCAUUCCCAAAAGUAGGCAAGAUCUAUGUAGUUGAUACUAGAG